Phrynosoma platyrhinos (Desert horned lizard) is the source of this 72-nucleotide non-coding RNA. The record is from the annotation of a GenBank genome assembly. NCBI's taxonomy places the organism in Eukaryota, Metazoa, Chordata, Lepidosauria, Squamata, Phrynosomatidae.
GAGAGUGUGGUAUAAUGGUUUGAGUGUUGGACUACAACUCUGGAGACCAGCGUUCAAAUCCCUGCUCAAUCA